This 75-nucleotide microRNA precursor is filed under the name Choloepus hoffmanni (Hoffmann's two-fingered sloth). RNAcentral describes it as "miRNA (ENSCHOG00000015846.1)". The record is from RNAcentral. Lineage: Eukaryota; Metazoa; Chordata; Mammalia; Pilosa; Megalonychidae.
UAGGAUGAACAAAACGACCUGGUUUUCCUGGGACUGAGGGGGUUUCCAGGAUACAGGGCUUCAAUCUAAAACCAG